RNAcentral lists this ribosomal RNA (720 nucleotides) under Thalassiosira rotula. RNAcentral's name for it is "partial Bacterial small subunit ribosomal RNA". It matches the Rfam family "Bacterial small subunit ribosomal RNA", at positions 340 to 1068 of the family's 1533-position model. Lineage: Eukaryota; Bacillariophyta; Thalassiosirophyceae; Thalassiosirales; Thalassiosiraceae. The record is from RNAcentral.
UACGGGAGGCAGCAGUGGGGAAUAUUGCACAAUGGGCGGAAGCCUGAUGCAGCAACGCCGCGUGCGGGAUGACGGCCUUCGGGUUGUAAACCGCUUUCGCCUGUGACGAAGCGUGAGUGACGGUAAUGGGUAAAGAAGCACCGGCUAACUACGUGCCAGCAGCCGCGGUGAUACGUAGGGUGCGAGCGUUGUCCGGAAUUACUGGGCGUAAAGAGCUCGUAGGUGGUUUGUCGCGUCGUCUGUGAAAUUCCGGGGCUUAACUUCGGGCGUGCAGGCGAUACGGGCAUAACUUGAGUGCUGUAGGGGAGACUGGAAUUCCUGGUGUAGCGGUGGAAUGCGCAGAUAUCAGGAGGAACACCGAUGGCGAAGGCAGGUCUCUGGGCAGUAACUGACGCUGAGGAGCGAAAGCAUGGGGAGCGAACAGGAUUAGAUACCCUGGUAGUCCAUGCCGUAAACGUUGGGCACUAGGUGUGGGGAACAUUCCACGUUUUCCGCGCCGUAGCUAACGCAUUAAGUGCCCCGCCUGGGGAGUACGGCCGCAAGGCUAAAACUCAAAGGAAUUGACGGGGGCCCGCACAAGCGGCGGAGCAUGCGGAUUAAUUCGAUGCAACGCGUAGAACCUUACCUGGGUUUGACAUGGAUCGGGAGUGCUCAGAGAUGGGUGUGCCUCUUUUGGGGUCGGUUCACAGGUGGUGCAUGGCUGUCGUCAGCUCGUGUCGU